AGCCCCCUGUAUUCGUGAUGAGAUUUCGUCAGAGAUCAACCCACUGGCGUUGGGCUAAUGAUACUUCCCAAAUAAGUGAAGCG
Molecule: microRNA precursor, 83 nt
Filed under: Trichobilharzia regenti
Lineage: Eukaryota; Metazoa; Platyhelminthes; Trematoda; Strigeidida; Schistosomatidae
Description: mir-3492 microRNA precursor family
Rfam family: mir-3492 microRNA precursor family
Source: Rfam by way of RNAcentral